This is a long non-coding RNA of Peromyscus maniculatus bairdii (prairie deer mouse), 716 nucleotides long. RefSeq lists it as uncharacterized. The record is from RefSeq and is a predicted model, not a curated record. NCBI's taxonomy places the organism in Eukaryota, Metazoa, Chordata, Mammalia, Rodentia, Cricetidae.
UCAGGGCUACAUAUCUCAGAAGGGAAAGGAGGGAGGCCAUUUUAUUAGGGCCCUAUGUAAAUCACCUGAAUAUGAUUACUUUUUCAUUCUAUUCCUUCAGCUCAUUAAUUCCAUGCGUACAUGAGUGCAUGAGCCUGAACAUACAAUACAGGCGCACAUACAUACAUACACCACACUACCACCUCCACACAAUAUCACAGCAUUCCAACCAAUAAGGAUCCAGCUGAUGAAGAUCUCUCAGUUUCCGAGGGGAGAGCGACUGGCCCUGGUGGUGGGUACUAGUGAGCACAGUCCCGUCUGUUGAAGAUUGUAGAAUGCAACUUUCAGAAGUGUCCAGCUUCAGAUGAGUCACAUGAAGCCAGGCUGUGAGCACCAUAAGACCUGGAACUUGAGGUGAAUGGAGGUUGGAAGAAUCUAGUAAGAUGGGCUAUAACUUGAUCACAUGGCUCUCUAGGGUAAAAUUUGAAGUCCAAACGCUAAGAGUUUCAUCAGAUGGCAUCUGCAACCAAGAAGUUUUCCUACUUGCUGUGAACCACCUACUUGUGGCUCCCACGCAUGUAUCCCCCGAAUCCCUUGAUUUAUGACUUUGUUCUGUAACUAAUGAAAUCUCUCAAGAAACCACUUCCACUGUGGAGCGUGGUAUCUGGGGAAACCUGAAUCCUGGGCCAUGAUCACUUCUAUUUGGCUCCAGAAUAAAAUCUUUUAUUCCCUUCAAA